Molecule: non-coding RNA, 4453 nt
Organism: Camellia sinensis
Lineage: Eukaryota; Viridiplantae; Streptophyta; Magnoliopsida; Ericales; Theaceae
Source: RefSeq, a predicted model, not a curated record
CUUCCCUUCACCCAAAAAAACCUUGGAAAUGAAACGUACAAAACAAAUCUCAUACUCCUCAUCAUCCUCAUCAUCCUCAGCAAACACAUAAUAAUCAACACAACAAACAACACACCCACCAUCACCAUCACCAUCACCAUCACCAUCACAGUUUGUUUUUUAGAGAGAGAGAGAGAGAGAGAAAGAGAAAAUCUAGAGAGAGAACUCCCCAAUUUCACCACCUUCUCUAGCUUCUCCUUCAACCGAAAGCCAACUCUAAACUCUAAAAUACAUACAUAUAUAUACAUAUAUCUUUCUUAUUUCCAGGGUUUCGUAAAUUGAUUUGACUGUGUGGAUCACUAGUUCUAUUACAUGGCAUUGUUUCGCAAGUUGUUCUUUCGGAAGCCCCCUGAUGGCCUUCUUGAGAUCUCUGAAAGAGUUUACGUAUUUGAUAGUUGUUUUACAACUGAUGCUUGGGGAGAAGAAGAUUAUAAAGUCUAUGUUGGAGCCAUUAUUGGUCAACUUCGAGAAAACUAUCCUGAUGCUUCAAUCCUGGUGUUCAAUUUCCGUGAGAGCGGGACUGAUAGCCUGAUUGCUAAUGUUUUAUCUGAGUAUGAUAUAACCAUAAUGGACUACCCUCGACACUAUGAGGGUUGCCCGUUGCUCACAAUGGAGGUGAUCCACCAUUUUCUAAGGUCAAGUGAAAGUUGGCUUUCCCUUGGGCAGCAAAAUGUACUUCUAAUGCACUGUGAACGAGGUGGUUGGCCAGUUUUGGCUUUCAUGUUAGCUUCUCUCUUGAUUUAUAGGAAGCAGUAUACAGGGGAGCAGAGGACCUUGGACAUGAUUUAUAAGCAGGCCCCACGUGAGCUUUUGCAUUUGCUGUCACCUUUGAAUCCACUCCCUUCUCAAAUAAGGUAUUUGCAGUAUGUAUCAAGGAGAAAUGUGGCCUCAGAAUGGCCCCCUCUGGAUAGGGCUCUCACCUUGGACUGUGUUAUUAUUAGACUUAUUCCUAACUUUGAUGGGGAGGGUGGUUGCCGCCCAAUAUUUCGAAUAUAUGGACAGGAUCCUUUCCUUGUUUCUGAUCGAACUCCCAAAGUUCUGUUCUCAACUCCAAAAAGGAGCAAAACCGUCCGGCACUACAAGCAGGCAGAAUGUGAACUAGUUAAGAUUGAUAUCAAUUGUCAUAUUCAAGGUGAUGUUGUGCUUGAGUGUAUCAGUUUACAUGAUGACGUGGAACGGGAAGAGAUGGUGUUCCGAGUAAUGUUCAACACAGCUUUCAUCAGGUCAAAUAUUCUAAUUAUUAGUCGUGAUGAAAUCGACAUGUUAUGGGAUGCUAAAGAUCAAUUUCCAAGAGAUUUCAGGGCAGAGGUUCUUUUCUCAGACACAGAUGCUGCCGAUUCUAGAGUUCCCAUAGAUUUGUCUUGUUUUGAGGAGAAGGAUGGCCUUCCAGUGGAGGCAUUUGCUAAAGUUCAGGAGAUCUUUAGCAGUGUUGACUGGUUAGUUCCGAAGACAGAUGCUGCAGUAAAUGUUCUCCACCAAAUAGCUGCAUCAAAUGCUGUCCAAGAAAAGUUAGACACACUCAGAGCAUUUGGAAGUGAUACCGAGAGCUCCACAAACUGGGUCUUAGGUGAUCAGUGUGUGCCCUUGCCUGAAGCUUCUCCACAUGCAGAUGGGGCUAGACAGAAGGCUGAGCCUGAACCUGUGUCAAUUUCACCCUCAACACCACCUCCAUUGCGACCUUAUGCUAGGGAACCAGUUGCUUCUCCUCUAUCUCCAACUCCACUGCCACUUCAUCUUUCAACCUCACAACCUACGCAUGAUUCACAUGGCAAACAGUCUGAGACCUUUCCCGAAGCAGGGCAUUCUUCUUUGGUUCCUCAACCUGCUGUUGAAACUCCGCCUUCAGGAACCAUUUCCAGUAAUUUGUUAUCUACUCAUUCUCCAUCUACAGCCCCUCCAAUUGCUUCAUCAACUCCGCCUCUUCCAGCACUGCCUUUGAAGGAGGAUGUAGCUACUGGAACUAAGCCGCCUCCACCACCUCCACCUCCACCUCCACCUCCAUCUGCAAACCCCCCUCCAACUAUGCCUUUGAAGGAUUCAUCUAUUGACAUUGGGCAGCAAGUAGCCCCAUGUCCUUCCCCAACUCCACCUCCUCCAAGUGAGCCUUUGAAGGAUAAAACUACUGCUAGAACUGGACCCUGUCCACCCCCACCUCCUCCCCCAAAUCUGCCACCGCCGCCUCCUCCUUCGGCUAUGUCUUUGAGAGGUAACCAAGCUGUGAGAAUUGGAUCUCCUUCACCCCCAACUCCACCUCCUCCUCCAACCCCACCUUUAAAGGACAAUUCAACUAUCAGAACUGCACCACCUCCACCCCCACCUCCUCCUGCAACCCCACCUUUGAAGGAAAAUUCAACCAUCAGAGCUGGACCUCCUCCGCCUCCGCCUCCUCUUCCUUCUAGGCAAGCUUCAGGGCCUGCAAUUUCUGCUUCAGUGCCCCCACCGCCACCUCCACUUGCCCCCAGUUCUUCAUCCAAGCUUCUUCAAACUGCACCAGAUAGUGCUUCAUGCGUCCCAUCUGCACCACCCCCUCCUUAUCCUUCCGUUAAGGGAAGUAUUGGAGAUCAGAGUUUGUCCAAGUCUCCCUCUCCUGCACCUCCAACUCCUGCUCCUCCUUUUAGUUCCCCAUCUGGUACAAAGGGACGAGGUUUGUCACGUCCUGUAAGUUCAAGAAAUAAUCAAACGAAGAAGUUGAAGCCAUUGCAUUGGUUGAAGUUGACAAGAGCAGUGCAAGGAAGUCUGUGGGCUGAGGCACAAAAAUCUGGCGAAGCUUCCAAGGCACCAGAGAUUGAUAUGUCAGAACUCGAGAGUCUUUUCUCAGCAGCUGUUCCAAAUUCAGAUCAAGGGGGAGCAGGCCGCAGAUCAGGUUCUCGUUCUUCACUUGGGCAGAAGCCUGAUAAAGUGCAACUGAUUGAACACAGGCGGGCAUAUAAUUGUGAAAUUAUGCUUUCAAAGGUCAAAGUACCAUUGCCCCAGUUGAUGAGUUCAGUGCUUGCCUUGGAGGAUUCAGCAUUAGAUGUUGACCAGGUGGAUAACCUCAUAAAGUUCUGUCCAACAAAAGAGGAGAUGGAGCUGCUUAAGGGCUACAAUGGAGAAAAGGAAAAGCUAGGAAAAUGUGAACAGUUUUUUUUGGAGUUAAUGCAAGUACCACGAAUAGAAUCUAAGCUAAGAGUUUUUUCAUUUAAGAUGCAGUUCCGUACCCAGGUUUCUGAUCUUAGAAAUAGCCUGAAUGUUGUCAAUUCAGCAGCAGAUCAGAUCAGGUGCUCUGUCAAAUUCAAAAGAGUUAUGCAGACAAUCCUUUCAUUAGGAAAUGCUUUGAAUCAGGGAACUGCCAGGGGCUCUGCUAUUGGGUUCAGGUUGGAUAGCCUCCUUAAACUUACUGAAACACGUGCCCGGAACAACAAGAUGACUCUCAUGCAUUAUCUUUGUAAGGUGCUUGCUGAUAAACUUCCUGAACUUCUUGAUUUUUCAAAAGAUCUUGCCAGCUUGGAAUCUGCGUCAAAGAUACAACUGAAAUUUUUGGCAGAGGAAAUGCAAGCCAUUAGCAAAGGACUGGAGAAAGUUGUACAGGAAUUGUCCAUGUCUGAAAAUGAUGGUCCUGUUUCAGAAGAAUUCUGUACGAUUUUGAAGGUGUUCCUUUCUUUUGCUGAAGCUGAAGUGAGGUCUUUGGCUUUACUUUAUUCUGGGGUGGGUAGAAAUGUUGAUGCCUUGAUUUUGUACUUUGGUGAAGAUCCAUCCCGUUGCACAUUUGAACAAGUUAUUUCUACCCUACUCAACUUUGUUAAAAUGUUUAAUCGUUCACAUGACGAGAACUGUAAGCAGCUGGAGCUUGACAAAAAGAAAGCCGAGAAAGAAUCAGAAAGUGAGAAGUUGAAGACACAUGCUUCACAGAAGAACUCUGAACACUUGUUACAAUCUCAAAUCAAGAGUAUCAAAUAAUUUGAUGAUGUUACUUUUCUCCUUCUGCUACUCUUUCUUUCUCUUCCUAAUGAAUAAAUAUUAUCGUCUGCUCGGUAAAAAGAAAUGCAGCUGGGAAAUAGGAGUGGGAGGGAUAGUGCGAGUGCGAGGAGUUUGUAUAUUUGGGCUGAGAUGUUAGGUGUAGAGUUGUAAAUGCCACAAUCUGUAGCAAAGUAGAGCCUCGAUCAUUAUUUCAACAGGGGAGUUAAUGCAAUCCGGUCGCAACUUGUAAAAUAUUUACUGACAUAUUGCAAAAGUAUUUAGUUCUUCCAUAUCAUCCUUUUGUGGUUUUUCUAUUUUGCAGCGUUUUCCUAAUUUUCAUAGUUAUCAUGUACAUUAUAAUCUCUCUCUCUCUCUCUCUCUCUUUCUCUCUCUCUCUCUGAGUUAACUUGGAGCAAUAUUUUUCUCUUCUUGAGUAUGGUUUCAGGGCAGCAAUUAGUUAUAUAGAAAAGGUUUUAUA